Molecule: ribosomal RNA, 465 nt
Filed under: Vreelandella stevensii
Lineage: Bacteria; Pseudomonadati; Pseudomonadota; Gammaproteobacteria; Oceanospirillales; Halomonadaceae
Description: partial 16S ribosomal RNA
Rfam family: Bacterial small subunit ribosomal RNA
Source: RNAcentral
CCUACGGGGGGCAGCAGUGGGGAAUAUUGGACAAUGGGCGAAAGCCUGAUCCAGCCAUGCCGCGUGUGUGAAGAAGGCCUUCGGGUUGUAAAGCACUUUCAGUGGGGAAGAAAGCCUUGGGGCUAAUACCCUCGAGGAAGGACAUCACCCACAGAAGAAGCACCGGCUAACUCCGUGACAGCAGCCGCGGUAAUACGGAGGGUGCGAGCGUUAAUCGGAAUUACUGGGCGUAAAGCGCGCGUAGGCGGUCUGAUAAGCCGGUUGGGAAAGCCCCGGGCUAAACCUGGGAACGGCAUCCGGAACUGUCAGGCUAGAGUGCAGGAGAGGAAGGGAGAAUUCCCGGUGUAGCAGUGAAAUGCGUAGAGAUCGGGAGGAAUACCAGUGGCGAAGGCGGCCUACUGGACUGACACUGACGCUGAGGUGCGAAAGCGUGGGUAGCAAACAGGAUUAGAUACCCCUGUAGUC